UUAACUCAAAUUUGUAUGGAUUUGGAACGUUCGCCUACGUUUGCCGCUAGGGGCGCUGUUCCUACUGCAUAGAAAUUUGAGUUA
Molecule: microRNA precursor, 84 nt
Filed under: Bombyx mori (domestic silkworm)
Lineage: Eukaryota; Metazoa; Arthropoda; Insecta; Lepidoptera; Bombycidae
Description: mir-2807 microRNA precursor family
Rfam family: mir-2807 microRNA precursor family
Source: Rfam by way of RNAcentral